AGUGGGUUGCAAAUUUUACGCAGAAAGGCACACUGCCACCCGCCCGCCCUCCGCACCACAACUGCUGCUGCUGCUGCUGCUGCUGCUGCUGCUGCUGCUGCUGCUGCUGCUGCUGCUGCUGCUGCUGCUGCUGCUGCUGCUGCUGCUGCUGCUGCUGCUGCUGCUGCUGCUGCUGCUGCUGCUGCUGCUGCUUCUCCCCUGUUGCUGGUGCUUAUCCGCCAAAUGAGCAAAAUUAAUUU
Molecule: small RNA, 239 nt
Filed under: Drosophila guanche
Lineage: Eukaryota; Metazoa; Arthropoda; Insecta; Diptera; Drosophilidae
Source: RNAcentral